UACGUAGGGUGCGAGCGUUGUCCGGAAUUAUUGGGCGUAAAGAGCUCGUAGGCGGUCUGUCGCGUCGGAUGUGAAAGCCCGGGGCUUAACUCCGGGUCUGCAUUCGAUACGGGCAGACUAGAGUGUGGUAGGGGAGAUCGGAAUUCCUGGUGUAGCGGUGAAAUGCGCAGAUAUCAGGAGGAACACCGGUGGCGAAGGCGGAUCUCUGGGCCGUAACUGACGCUGAGGAGCGAAAGCAUGGGGAGCGAACAGG
RNAcentral lists this ribosomal RNA (253 nucleotides) under uncultured bacterium. RNAcentral's name for it is "partial 16S ribosomal RNA". It matches the Rfam family "Bacterial small subunit ribosomal RNA", at positions 524 to 776 of the family's 1533-position model. The record is from RNAcentral.